CCCCGACAUCCGGAGAGACCCGUCGCUUGCGGCGGGUCCGGCAACCUGGGGGAGCAUCCCGAGGUGCCAUCUUCGCCGAGGCGUGCUCGGCGGUAGAGAUGUGGCGGAGGGCCUCGCGGCCCUGCGCAACGAAGUGCUCCGCG
Molecule: non-coding RNA, 143 nt
Filed under: unclassified sequences
Source: Rfam by way of RNAcentral